CUAAAUGCGAUAAGUAAUGUGAAUUGCAGAAUUCAGUGAAUCAUCGAAUCUUUGAACGCACCUUGCGCUCCUUGGUAUUCCUUGGAGCAUGCCUGUUUGAGUAUCAUGAAAUCUUCAAAGUAAAUCUUUUGUUAACUCAAUUGGUUUCUACUUUGGUAUUGGAGGUCUUUGCAGCUUCACACCUGCUCCUCUUUGUUCAUUAGCUGGAUCUCAGUGUUAUGCUUGGUUCCACUCGGCGUGAUAAGUUAUCUAUCGCUGAGGACACUGUAAAAGGUGGCCAAGGUAAAUGCAGAUGAACCGCUUCUAAUAGUCCAUUGACUUGGACAAUACUUUUAUGAUCUGAUCUCAAAUCAGGUAGGACUACCCGCUGAACUUAAGC
RNAcentral lists this unclassified non-coding RNA (379 nucleotides) under plant metagenome. Its description in RNAcentral is "partial contains 5.8S ribosomal RNA, internal transcribed spacer 2, and large subunit ribosomal RNA". The stretch from base 1 to 106 matches the Rfam family "5.8S ribosomal RNA", at positions 49 to 154 of the family's 154-position model. The record is from RNAcentral.